UACGGGGGGGGCAAGCGUUGUUCGGAAUUACUGGGCGUAAAGGGCUCGUAGGUGGCCAACUAAGUCAGACGUGAAAUCCCUCGGCUUAACCGGGGAGCUGCGUCUGAUACUGGAUGGCUUGAGGUUGGGAGAGGGAUGCGGAAUUCCAGGUGUAGCGGUGAAAUGCGUAGAUAUCUGGAGGAACACCGGUGGCGAAGGCGGCAUCCUGGACCAAUUCUGACGCUGAGGAGCGAAAGCCAGGGGAGCAAACGGG
RNAcentral lists this ribosomal RNA (253 nucleotides) under uncultured bacterium. RNAcentral's name for it is "partial 16S ribosomal RNA". It matches the Rfam family "Bacterial small subunit ribosomal RNA", at positions 524 to 776 of the family's 1533-position model. The record is from RNAcentral.